Molecule: long non-coding RNA, 1065 nt
Filed under: Cricetulus griseus (Chinese hamster)
Lineage: Eukaryota; Metazoa; Chordata; Mammalia; Rodentia; Cricetidae
Description: lncRNA (ENSCGRG00015034382.1)
Source: RNAcentral
AACACAUUCAAAUAUCUUUCUAACAAUUCACAAGGCACAGGUCCUUCUGCAUCACUGUAGGAUGAACCCAAUUUUAUCUGGAAGAUAGUUAUUUGAUUCUAGAUUAUCUUAUCCUGUGACUGUCAUUCUCCCAGUGGUCAACGUAGCUUAUGGGACCAUGCCAUCCUUUUACUAGGCAAAUAUGCUAUCUUACAUGGCUGAUCCUGAAACUGAAUGAAAACCUGUCAUUAUCUGAGGGAUUGUUUUUGAAAAGCCUCCAUUUGUAUACAUUUGCUCAAACAUAGCAAGUAUUGUACAGUUUUUUCAUUGUAUCAAAUAAUUUUUUUAAAAAAAAACAAACAAAACUACAAAUAAAGUCUCUUAAGACUAUGACUUGGUAGAGCCAAGUGUUUAUUAAGAUGGAGCAGAGUAAAAAGUUGUGAGAAGUGGAGGGCAUUCAUGAGGAAAACCCAGAAUUUGCGAGCCCAAGCUCAGACCUUGCAGUGGUAUCUGGCACCUGUGUAGCUCAUGCCUGCCCACAGGGCAUCAGCAGAGCUGCACCUCGAGUUCUUUCCCGGGACAUUACCUUUGUUCGUCAGCAUGUGUUGAGACUUACAUGUCUGAAAGCUUCCCAGGCUCCUGUUUCUCUAACAUUACAUUUUAUUACAUCCCUGUAUUUCACUGAUCCUCUUGAGGGUUGGGAGGUAAGGACAAAUCCCUGCGUUUGCUUGUUUUACAGUUUGGAAGCAAAGGCAAGUGUACACAGACCCAGGUUUCUAAAGGGACAGAUUCCAGACAGUGCUUUCUGGCUGAUUCCUAAAGGCGGGUGAUUGCCUUAUAUCCGACUUAAGUUGUGCUGUUGAAUCUGUUCGCUUUGAAUGAAAUCAAUUUUGAGUUGCUUGCUGAGGAGUGGGCUCAUGAAACAAUAUUCAUCUUUCCCUGGGUCUUAAAUACAAAUGAAGGUAGCUGGUUGUGAUACACAUACUGUUCUGUGUCUGUACUGUGACUGUUAAAAUAACCAUAAUGCCAAUAAAAGGAACACACAGCACAGACAAGCAGCCUCUGCCUUCUGUGCUUACCUAUAAG